GACGUAGGGCGCGAGCGUUGUCCGGAUUUAUUGGGCGUAAAGAGCUCGUAGGCGGCUUGUCGCGUCGUCCGUGAAAACUUGGGGCUCAACCUCAAGCUUGCGGUCGAUACGGGCAGGCUAGAGUUCGGUAGGGGAGACUGGAAUUCCUGGUGUAGCGGUGAAAUGCGCAGAUAUCAGGAGGAACACCGGUGGCGAAGGCGGGUCUCUGGGCCGAUACUGACGCUGAGGAGCGAAAGCGUGGGGAGCGAACAGG
RNAcentral lists this ribosomal RNA (253 nucleotides) under uncultured bacterium. RNAcentral's name for it is "partial 16S ribosomal RNA". It matches the Rfam family "Bacterial small subunit ribosomal RNA", at positions 524 to 776 of the family's 1533-position model. The record is from RNAcentral.